GAAAAUUGAGGGAGCUGAUCCGAAAGAAGAAUAGAUCAAAAUUACCAACAAAAGCUUUCAACACCAAGAAAGAUUUCAAGCAAAAGCCUCAGGAGGAAACCUGUUUCGAAUGUGGAAGGCCUGAACAUUUCAAAAGAGAUUGCUUCCAACUAAAAAGAAAGAACAAAGAAAAUGGUUCAAAAGGGAAGGCUCUAAUGACAUGGAGUGAUGAUGAAUCUGAUCAUGAAGAUCAAGAAGAAGAAACUGCUCAACUGUGCUUCACUGGAAUACACAAUGAGGAAACAUCUGAGGUAAGUCUUGAACUUGGAGAAAUUACUAUUUCUGACUAUCUUGUUUUAAAAAAUGAAAACCUUCGUAUGAAAGAGAAAAAUGUUCACUUAAAAAGUUGGAUAAAUGACUUAAUGAAGGAAGUAGAAACUUUAAUUGAGGAAAAACAAGAAAUAGUUAAAGAUUGCUCAUCAUGUGAAGUAUCUCAGUUGAAUGCUAAA
This 488-nucleotide long non-coding RNA is filed under the name Panax ginseng (ginseng). Its description in RNAcentral is "long non-coding RNA (PGIN_LNC005611)". Lineage: Eukaryota; Viridiplantae; Streptophyta; Magnoliopsida; Apiales; Araliaceae. The record is from RNAcentral.